CAAAAUUUUUUUUUUCGAAAAUGUUAUUAGUUUCCUCAAAAUUAGUGGUGGUGAUUUUUUUCCUAUUUUUUUUGAAAAUUUUUUUUCAAACAUAUUUUAUUAAAAUUUGUUAUUUUUUUCCAAAAAAUUAUUAGCGUCAUCAAAAUUUGUUUUUAAGGGGAAAAAUAUGUGUUUAAGGCGGUAUUCUAGCCUAGAAGACCGAAUUUCGAGCGUUUUUUUGGCAACUGAUAAAAAAGCACUUGAGAUUUUUACCAUUAUUUUAAAAUAUUUUGUCCAUUUCUUGUCACUUGUUUACUUAUAUUUGAAUAUUGCACAAAAAUAUGUUUAUUUUUCCUUUGAAUUAAGCGCCUCUUAAUUAGAGGAGGAAAAAUGUCCAUGUGACCAUGCUCUUCGUCCUGAUUUCUACCCUUGCGGCCAAUAAAAAAAUAAAAUAAUGAGUAUUCUUGAUUGGUACGAACAAACAGCUUAAAAAGCUGCUAAAUUGAAAAACAAAUUUUUUUUCAUUAAAUGGCGUCUACUUAAAUAUAAAGAUGGAUUUUUUUACUUUUUAAUUUUGUCGAUUUUUUUUAAAAUAGUAAACAUCUCAAUUUUUCAUUUUUUGCUACUUCAUGGGAUAAAGAGAUAUAAGAGUAUUUAACAUUAUUUAUUGCAUGUUUCAAGCAAAUCGGCUGAUUAGAACUUGAUACAUUGUGGCAACUGCAUCAGAAAAGUAAUGAAGUUCAUAUCGGUCCAGUUGCCAGGACACUAAAAUAAACUUCGGAAAUAAUUUAAAUUUUAUAAAAUCUUUUUAUGGAGAUAUUUUCUAAUAUCUUCGCUAUCCAACUUGAAAAAAAUUUAAUUUUUUCAAUUUCCUUGACCAGAAUACUGGCUUAAACAUCUUAAUUUUAAUGCGUAUUUGCUGAAACGUGAUCUUGUGCACUAAAAAAAUCAUUCUCCAUUUUAAUGUGACCUUGCUUAAGGAAAUAUUUUUUUUGUAAGAAUUUUUUCAAAUGAAUUGUUUUGCUUACGAGUUUUAGAAUUAUUUAAAAAUUUGGCUGAAAUUUUAAUUACCAAAAAGAAGCCAACAUAAUUUAAGUUCGAAAAAAAAAUUUUUUUUGGUAUAUUAAAAUUAUUUGAGCUACUUAACCAAUGAAGAUUCAUUAAAUUACUAUAUAUGGAGUAUAAUAAUAUUAUUAUCUGAUAAAUCAAAUAUUUGACCUUAACCCUAAUUUACUCUUAGUACUGUGCUGUUAGAGGCUGUUUCUUGCUAAUUUUGUGUUGCUAAAACCGAAAAUUAUACUAAAAAUUUUGUAACACUUGGUGUAACCUGUCAAUAAGCUGCAAUAAUUUAAUAAAUAAUGCUUAUUUGAACAUAAUGCUAUUUUGAAAAGUUGCUACUUAAUUUCAUAAUUUCAUAAAAAUAUAAAUAAGAAAAACUGGAGAUAAGUAAACAAAAAUAAUUUGAAGCUACCGCGUAUAUUAAUAAUUUUUUUCUCUAAUUUUUUAAACGCAUCAAAUUAACUAUUUUUUCAAAAAUUUCAAAUUAUUUCGCAUUAAAAAUGUGGUUUCUUUAUGCGUGCUUAUCAAUGCCGACCGUUUUAAUAAUGAAUAAAUAAUAUUUUUACUAGAGCUACUAACACUGCAAAAACACAACUUAUAAAUAUGUAAUGUGUCAUAUUUAUGCGAAAUUCAUCAAAUGCUUUUGCAGGUGCGUUAAAGUGCAACACAAUUAAUUAAAAAUUAAUUGCUUAACAUGAUUAAUAAGGAAAUCACGCUACUCCACACACACACACACGCGCGCAUACGUGUGAAAGUGCUUAAAAUAGAAAUGCAAGUUUGCAAUUUAAAUUAUGAGUGCGAGUAAAAAUUAUAAAACCAAAAAAAUUUACAAGCUACUGCCAUAAUUUACAAAUUGAACAACAGCCGAUAAACACACGCACACAUUUACAUACAAAUAAACAGCUGUGUGAUGGUACAAAUGCCGCAUUUAAUCUUCAUAAUUAAUGCACAACCACAUAAGGACAGGCUAGCAUGCGUACACUGGGUAAAAACAGCAAAUCAAAUGCUACAACAGGCGCUCACACAAACAAACAUACAUUAGUGAUAAAACAUAUACAUACAUGCAUACUCACACACAUACAUUACUCAACAAAUAAAAACACGAAAUUUUUAAACGCAUCGUACCGAGCUAUUUUACUUUACCACUUAACCUAUGUGUCAUAUUUAUGUAUUACAUGCAUACAUACAUACUCUCAUACAUACAAAUAUUUCAUAUUGAACAUGAAUGCAUACAAUCGUCAUACUUGCAAAUAAAUUUAAAUGAUAAAAAUGCAUAAAAAUAAAUACAUAUAAAUUAAUUGCUUACAUACAUACAUAUAUUGAUGUGCAUAGUUAUACAUAUGCUCCGCUCAUGCUCACCUACAUACUCAUGUUUGUAUUUAUGUAUCGACAAGCAUAUAUAAGAACACCAAAAAGUAUAUUUAAUUCAUAAAAACAAAAAAAUUACAAAAAACAUAACGUAUAAUCCAUUAAAUCAUGCCUAACGCUUAAUAAUCACAUAUAUACACAUACACAGAAAUAUACUACCCCACACAUAUACUUAUCUACAUUAAAAUGCGUAUUUAUUAAAAAAUUGCUUUACUGCAAACCUGCCGAUUAAAUGCCAAUUUCUUUCUAAAUAUUUAUGCAACACGGUUUGUUCGCUAUUAAAAUGUAUAAAUAAUAAAUGAUUUGUGUGAUUGUGUAUAAUUUAUUAAUGAAAUCCCUACACUACGCCCAUUCUAGCCACACAAGUACUCACUUAUACAUUAUUAAACACAACGACAUAUUACAUACAUAUAUACAUAUACUACACCAACUACUCGGAACAACAACUACCAUAAAUGACAACUAAAUGUAUAAUUACAUACUACAUACAAAUAUAUUACAUAGGUACAGCUAUAUGCAUAGUAUAUAGUAUGGUAUAUGUACAAAUACAAGUGCAUGGAAUUACAAACUCCAUACGUACAUACUUACAUAAAAAAACACACAUACAAAUGCAUCAUAUAGUUUGUAUAGUUAGCAAAACUAUUUUUAUACAAGCUUCCUCAGUUAAAGCACAUUUUAGAAUUGCAAAACUUUAUAAUGCCAUAAGAUAUUUCGAAAAAUGUUUUAACGCUUCAAAAAAGCCGUUAAGUUGAUAGUAAACUUCGGAAAAACUUUUUCUGAUUUUUUCAAAUACUAAAAUUUUUCAUAUUGUUCACAAUUUUCAAGACUAAUUUUUCUGUGAAAUUUUUGAAUUAUUUUAAUUAUUUCAAAAACUCACUUUACAUACUAUUUAGUUUUCUCUUCAAACUACAUUACUUCCGGCUAAGUAUUGGUGACCAUUCGCUUUCAAAAUGAUUUCAGCUAGUUCAUGCUUUUCACGAUCUAUCUCUUCUAAUAGAAAAUAAUUUCCAGCAAAGUAUUGGAACGUUCACUAAGUAAUUUCGUUUUUUAGUGCAAUUAAACCCAAUUUUUUAUUGCGUAAAACAACUUAUGGAAAUAUAUAUAUUCUCAAUUUUGAUCCAAUACUUAUUGCCAUCUUCCGGGCAAGAUAUUGCUUUCACGCUCUCAAUAUUUUUGACUGAGCCAAGUGGUUUGGCGUACUAACUUGAUUUGAGCUGAAGGUUCUCCCAUCCAAAAAAUUUUGCUGAGACCGGAAUAACAGUUCGUAGAAGUCAAGUAUGAGAAUAUGGUCUCAAGGUGACGAAUAUGGUGAGUGUGAUAGCGCAUCCCUUUCAAUCUGCAAUAGCUUUUGGAGGGUCAUCAAACUUAUAUAAAGUCCCGCAUGAUCUUAAUGGAACACUACACAUUUUCCAUUGAUCAAUUUUCGCAUCUUUUGCUUCAGUAAAUCACUCAACUUGCCUAGCUACUCACAAUACACUUCAAAAUUAAUCGUGGUACUGUCGGGCGAAAGAUCAAAUAAGCGAUAAGUCCUACCAAACAGACUACAUAACCUUUUUUGGUGACUACUGGACUUCGAAGUGGUUUGAGCUGGUUCAUCAUUACAGCUGAAGCUCUUCAGGAACCACCUCUUUUGUUUAUUGGUUUCGAGGAGAUGAGCUUUAUUUCUCAAUACUCCAAGAGAGUAGAACUUUUAGCAAGAACUCUCCAUUCACAGAUCAUGGGUGCAAUUUCCCUUGACGUCAAGAUAGCUUUUUCUCUGCCCUGGGGAAGAUUCUGCUAUUAUAGAUAAAUAAGCCUUCGCUACCAGUGAAAUCAAAAAGCGAAAAAAAGCAGACGGUGUGUUUUUUAUAUCUUGUCUGAACUGCUUUUUGACCCUUUUGAUAAUAAAAUAUGCCGAAACUGCUAUUUUCAAUUUUCGGAUCUUCCAGCUCCGAUAAGGCACCAAAGAAAAACAAUUCGAAAAAUUUAAGAAGCAUUUUUACUAACAAGCCUUACUACAAUACUAUAUAUCAGCUGUUGAAAUAUAUAAUGGUAAAGCGAUUAAAUGUGAAGUUGGCUGCAAAAAAAUGCAAAAAGAUCAGCUGCUGCCAUCAAACGAGACUACUUAGUGAACAACUAAAUACUUAAAUUUACUUAUUUUGGAAAUAUUUCCCAAAAAAUAAUAAACUAACUGUUGAUUUUCGAUUGACAUUCUGGUACCGUACAUUGGCACACUACCCAAAUAUAAUCUGUUUUUAAUAUCUGUAAAAAUUUCCUGCUAUCGUUUCUUCUGUUUCAAGUAUAGUUAUGAACAUUUAUUGUCGGGGUUCCUUUUUCAGCUGCAUCUUAUUGAGUAGAAAGGAAAGCAUGCAUAUUCGUCUUAGCAUACCACUUUUUAGUGGAUAGCAUGUUUUUCUUCAGAAGAAUCGGACCAAAGAAUAAAAAUAAUGAUACAUUUUUUAGCGGCCCUCUGAGUAUAGAUACUUGCUUUCAAUUCCAAUUUUCUCCUUUAAUAUGUAUAUAUACUUAUGAAGGAAUGCCGCUAUUACGAUAGAUCAUUCGAAGAAAAUUGUGGUAAGGGAAUUUUUAAUGAACUAAAGUUAUGCACAUGGUUUUAUCAAAGUAGUUGAAAGAGAGUAAAGUUGAGUAAAACUAAUUAUUUUGGUGCGAUUUUUUCACAAAGAUUAUAUGAAGGCCCAUAAUUAAAAGUACAGUAGAAAAAAAGUUAUACCUGUAUAUCCUUAAAAUGUAAUGUUUGUUUUCGAUUAGUCUCUCUAUUUCGCUACUUCUCAAAAUGAAAAAAAAUUGAUCGUACAAUUCAAACCCGACUAAAUUAUUUGUUUUAACAAAUAGCAUUAAACACAUUGAA
This is a long non-coding RNA of Bactrocera neohumeralis, 5254 nucleotides long. RefSeq lists it as uncharacterized. Lineage: Eukaryota; Metazoa; Arthropoda; Insecta; Diptera; Tephritidae. The record is from RefSeq and is a predicted model, not a curated record. The transcript is spliced from 2 exons.